UGAAGGGCCUGCUGCUGCAUGAACACUGCUGAUCAGGCAGUCUCCAGCACAUGUUGCAACCAUAAGGAUGUGAUUUUACAAGCAGUUGCUGCAGGAAACAAGGGAGAUGAAGUUGCCACAUAAACAGAAGUGGAUUUGUGCCUUCACAUUCAUAAUGUUGACAGCCUCUUCAACCAGGAAAAAACACAGACUUAUCUCUCUCUCAAAUCCUAAACCUAAAACACAAGGGACCUGAUGACUCACUUGAGGCGUUUUUGGGUUGAUAUUUCUAAGCCAUUAGGAAACCCUUCUGCCAAGUGCCGUGUCGUACAAGAUUACCAAUUUGUGUCAACCAUGGUUUGAGAGGCUUAUCCCUGCAGUAUUUGGUUUUCUAUUUUUUUAGAGACUGCCCAAUGCCCAAUUGUUUAUGUAUUCCAUUAAAGAUAUUAAAUUCAUAUGAAUAAAUUAUUUUCUCUUCUAAUGGUCAA
Long non-coding RNA from Alosa sapidissima (American shad), 467 nucleotides. RefSeq lists it as uncharacterized. The transcript has 2 exons. NCBI's taxonomy places the organism in Eukaryota, Metazoa, Chordata, Actinopteri, Clupeiformes, Clupeidae. The record is from RefSeq and is a predicted model, not a curated record.